RNAcentral lists this ribosomal RNA (253 nucleotides) under uncultured bacterium. RNAcentral describes it as "partial 16S ribosomal RNA". It matches the Rfam family "Bacterial small subunit ribosomal RNA", at positions 524 to 776 of the family's 1533-position model. The record is from RNAcentral.
UACGGAGGGGGCUAGCGUUGUUCGGAAUUACUGGGCGUAAAGCGCACGUAGGCGGCUUUGUAAGUUAGAGGUGAAAGCCCCGGGCUCAACUCCGGAACUGCCUUUAAGACUGCAUCGCUCGAAUCAUGGAGAGGUCAGUGGAAUUCCGAGUGUAGAGGUGAAAUUCGUAGAUAUUCGGAAGAACACCAGUGGCGAAGGCGACUGACUGGACAUGUAUUGACGCUGAGGUGCGAAAGCGUGGGGAGCAAACAGG